CCAAACCCCAACAGAAGAGCUUGUGAAGGAGUAAGAACUAACAAGGAUUCCCCUAGUAACUGCGAGUGAAGCGGGAAAAGCUCAAAUUUUGAAUCUGGCGGUCUUUUGGUCGUCCGAGUUGUAAUCUAGAGAAGCGUCUUCCGCGCUGGACCGUGUACAAGUCUCCUGGAAGGGAGCGUCAUAGAGGGUGAGAAUCCCGUCUUUGACACGGACUGCCAGUGCUAUGUGAUGCGCUCUCGACGAGUCGAGUUGUUUGGGAAUGCAGCUCUAAUUGGGUGGUAAAUUCCAUCUAAAGCUAAAUACAGGCGAGAGACCGAUAGCGAACAAGUACCGUGAGGGAAAGAUGAAAAGAACUUUGGAAAGAGAGUUAAACAGUACGUGAAAUUGCUGAAAGGGAAACGCUUGAUGUCAGUCGCGUCGGCCAGGGAUCAACCUUGCUUCUCGCUGGGUGUACUUCCUGGUCGAUGGGUCAGCAUCAGUUUCGAUCGUCGUACAAGGACGGAGGGAAUGUGGCACUCUUCGGAGUGUGUUAUAGCCUUUCGUCGCAUGCGGCGGUGGGGACUGAGGAACUCAGCACGGCCUUGCUUGUGCUUAGGAUGCUGGCAUAAUGGCCUUAAGCGACCCGUCUUGAAACACGGACCAAGGAGUCUAACAUGCCUGCGAGUGUUUGGGUGGCAAACUCGAGCGCGAAAUGAAAGUGAAAGUUGAGACCUCUGUCAUGGAGGGCAUCGACGCCCGGACCUGAGUCUUUGACGAAGGAUCUGAGGUAGAGCAUGCAUGUUGGGACCCGAAAGAUGGUGAACUAUGCCUGAAUAGGGUGAAGCCAGAGGAAACUCUGGUGGAGGCUCGUAGCGAUUCUGACGUGCAAAUCGAUCGUCGAAUUUGUGUAUAGGGGCGAAAGACUAAUCGAACCAUCUAGUAGCUGGUCUGCAUUCCCCCUCCCCGCUCGCAAAAAAAACCGCCCCCCCCCCCUCCCUAAUGGGGGCCCCUAUAGUCUUCCCCCCCUUUCCCA
RNAcentral lists this ribosomal RNA (1012 nucleotides) under Chalciporus sp. RNAcentral's name for it is "partial large subunit ribosomal RNA". It matches the Rfam family "Eukaryotic large subunit ribosomal RNA", at positions 28 to 1446 of the family's 3401-position model. Lineage: Eukaryota; Fungi; Basidiomycota; Agaricomycetes; Boletales; Boletaceae. The record is from RNAcentral.